GAUGAACGCUGGCGGCGUGCCUAAUACAUGCAAGUCGAGCGAACAGACGAGGAGCUUGCUCCUCUGACGUUAGCGGCGGACGGGUGAGUAACACGUGGAUAACCUACCUAUAAGACUGGGAUAACUUCGGGAAACCGGAGCUAAUACCGGAUAAUAUAUUGAACCGCAUGGUUCAAUAGUGAAAGACGGUUUUGCUGUCACUUAUAGAUGGAUCCGCGCCGCAUUAGCUAGUUGGUAAGGUAACGGCUUACCAAGGCAACGAUGCGUAGCCGACCUGAGAGAGUGAUCGGCCACACUGGAAGUGAGACACGGUCCAGACUCCUACGGGAGGCAGCAGUAGGGAAUCUUCCGCAAUGGGCGAAAGCCUGACGGAGCAACGCCGCGUGAGUGAUGAAGGUCUUCGGAUCGUAAAACUCUGUUAUUAGGUAAGAACAAAUGUGUAAGUAACUAUGCACGUCUUGACGGUACCUAAUCAGAAAGCCACGGCUAACUACGUG
RNAcentral lists this ribosomal RNA (497 nucleotides) under uncultured bacterium. Its description in RNAcentral is "partial 16S ribosomal RNA". It matches the Rfam family "Bacterial small subunit ribosomal RNA", at positions 28 to 507 of the family's 1533-position model. The record is from RNAcentral.